This 466-nucleotide ribosomal RNA is filed under the name uncultured bacterium. RNAcentral describes it as "partial 16S ribosomal RNA". It matches the Rfam family "Bacterial small subunit ribosomal RNA", at positions 28 to 507 of the family's 1533-position model. The record is from RNAcentral.
GAUGAACGCUGGCGGCGUGCUUAACACAUGCAAGUCGAACGAUCAAGCCCAGCUUGCUGUUGGUAUUAGUGGCAAACGGGUGUGUAACCCGUUAAUAACCUCCCCUUUACUCUGGGAUAAGCCUGGGAAUCUGGAUCUAAUACCGUAGAUAAGCGUCCACCGUAUGGUGUGUGUUGGAAAGAUUGAUCGGUUUUGGAUGGACUUGGGGUACCUAAGCUUGUUGGGGAGGAUAUGGCUCACCAAGGGGACGCCGGAUAGCCGGCCUGAGAGGGUGACCGGCCACACUGGGACUCGGGAAGGGCCAAGACUGCUACGGGAGGCAGGAGUGGGGGAUAUUGCACACAGGGCGGAAGCCGGAUGCAGGGACGCCGGGUGGGGGAUGACUGCCUUUGGGGUGUAAACCUCGUUAGGGAGGGAAGAACGGAAAGUGACGGUACCUGCAGAGGAAGCGCCGGCUAACUACGUG